UGUUCUCCUACGUGUCGCCUUUGUUUUCCUAUCUUCUAAAAGGGCUGUGCCAAACCUCCUUACAAAGACACUAGCCUAAGAGCCUGGACAGAAGCAAGAGUUCUGUCCGGUAGAGAAAGUGAACCCUGGAGCCACAAAGAGGACUCAAAAACAGAGAGAGAUCACCGGUGAGUUUGGACGUUUACAGGUAACACACAGAUUGUGCGGGGUGAGGGGCCACCAUAUCCAAUCGAGAUGAAUGAAUGAUGAGUGUUUUCUUGAAAUCGACAAGAAAAGAGAAGGACCCCACGCACACAUUACUUCGAUCCAUUCUUUCAGAAAGAUUCAUCCAAAUCUGGAAUCACUUUUCUGCUCUACGAUGGUCUUCAUCCAUCUUACCAUAGCUUUGCCUGUUUCCCCAAAUUCUACCUUAAAUCUGACUUUAUGAAACACAGCUUCAUGCUCUCUUACUUCCCCCAAAGAAGUUUCUCCUCCUGACAUCAUAUGUGAAGUGCUCGAAUAUCAGACACAUUAUAUAUUGAAGAUUUGUAUUUCACAAAGGUUGAUCUUAAGGCACCAUGAUUUUAGAAAUUAGAUGAAAAUAUUAUGUUGAUUCAUCCAGUGACUGAUAGUGUGUGCAGAAUUACUGGGUCGUUAUGCUAGGAACUUUACCUAAUACAGCAUUUUUUUACUUUGUUUAUUAUUUAUUUAUUUACUUAUUUGUUUAUUUAUUUAUUGGCACCACGUUUCCUGUCUACUCUGAGGUUGACUUCACUGUCUCUGAACCAAGGUCUGUUUUGGAAGUUGAAAGAAGAAAAAUACGCUAAGAAACCCAUUCCAAACUCUCAACUCUCCUUCAUGACUCAAGGUUGGACCAUAUGAGUAAGCCAAAUAUGUGUUUUCCCAUCCUUAUGAGGGAAGAGCAGUCUCUACAGCUAAUAACAUGUUACACACCACAUGUUCCCUGGGCAUACGCUGAAAAUGUUUGGAAGAGUCAAAGAGCUAGAUUCUCCUGUUAAGGACUUAGACUGUCACAUUGGUGUUCCCUCAUGAUCACCAGUGGUCUGCUUGUGGAAAUUGUUCAAACCUCUAGGAGAUGUGGCGCCAUCUGAAAUUUAAUAAGCACCUCUACAUGGUCCUCUUGGAACCCUGAUGCUGUGUGCUAAGCAAGUCUAAACUAACCCACUGUGAGUAGGAGAACCAAGGCACUGCAGCCCAGCAGAGGGCUGAAUGUAAAGACGAGAGAGGUCUCAGAUGUCACUACAUGAUGCAGAGUAAGUUGUCCAGUGAACUCAUGGAAACGGGAUGACAAAUCACUGCUUCAGAACAAGUUUUAGGCUCAUCUGCUAUGCAGUAAUUACUGGUGACAAUUCUCUCCCAUUUCAAGACGUGAAGAUGAUGGGGUCAGAUCGUGCGAGGGAAGGACAGGAAAUGGUGACCAAGCUCAUACUAUCCUUGCGCUAGUGAGCUAACAGCCAUGCUAGGGAGGAGACCUAAGUCAUCACUUUAGAAUUAAGAACUGUGGGACGUUCUGGCUUGCUAACCUAACGGGACAUCUCUAUCAUCACAAGGCACUGGAACUAUCCAGAAACAAAGGCUGACAAGAUCAUAAUACCCAGAGGUGUGGGAGGACUGGCACAAACCAGUGCUCGGGACAUUUCAGGACCACUGUACUCAUGAACUCUCGGUAUAGAGAGGUGUGCACCAGAUCUCACCCCUGAAUGAGGAAUAGACAGCUAGUGACUGCUGGGAAAGUAGGAGCCAUUUUCUUUAACCAUGAGGCUCUGGUGUUGAGCAUGCCUCAAUGGAUGGCCCCACACCCAUGAAUUGGACUCCUUGGAUUAUUAAAAAAAAAUUAAUGUGUGAUGUUUUGUAUUUAUUUGAACAUUUUAACAAUAAAAUUUAUUUGUAGCAAGGA
This is a non-coding RNA of Rattus norvegicus (Norway rat), 1897 nucleotides long. Lineage: Eukaryota; Metazoa; Chordata; Mammalia; Rodentia; Muridae. The record is from RefSeq and is a predicted model, not a curated record.